This 497-nucleotide ribosomal RNA is filed under the name uncultured bacterium. RNAcentral describes it as "partial 16S ribosomal RNA". It matches the Rfam family "Bacterial small subunit ribosomal RNA", at positions 28 to 507 of the family's 1533-position model. The record is from RNAcentral.
GAUGAACGCUGGCGGCGUGCCUAAUACAUGCAAGUCGAGCGAACAGACGAGGAGCUUGCUCCUCUGAUGUUAGCGGCGGACGGGUGAGUAACACGUGGAUAACCUACCUAUAAGACUGGGAUAACUUCGGGAAACCGGAGCUAAUACCGGAUAACAUGUUGAACCGCAUGGUUCAACAGUGAAAGACGGUCUUGCUGUCACUUAUAGAUGGAUCCGCGCCGCAUUAGCUAGUUGGUAAGGUAACGGCUUACCAAGGCAACGAUGCGUAGCCGACCUGAGAGGGUGAUCGGCCACACUGGAACUGAGACACGGUCCAGACUCCUACGGGAGGCAGCAGUAGGGAAUCUUCGGCAAUGGGCGAAAGCCUGACGGAGCAACGCCGCGUGAGUGAAGAAGGUCUUCGGAUCGUAAAACUCUGUUAUUAGGGAAGAACAAAUGUGUAAGUAACUAUGGACGUCUUGACGGUACCUACUCAGAAAGCCACGGCUAACUACGUG